AGUUGUACGCAUACCCAACUGAAGCUUUCUUCCCUUCUCCAGUGGAGUGCACCUGCACAGAAACUCUCUCUGUACCACGUACCUGCUGCCAGAAGCUGGGAAGGAGUGGUGCUGGUGAUUCAAAACUGAUUUUCCUGCCUCUUCGAUGCCUCUUUUAGUGACAUACAGUUAAGACCAGGCACUUAAAUCCACUUCUGAGGAGAAGAAUGAAAGCCAAGGCAGAUAUGAAAGAGCCAUGGACUGCUGACCUUUGAACCCUGAGAGGAGUGCAGAGCUCACUCAUAUUCUAAUGAAGUAUUUUUCUACCCUUAUUAUGAUUCUGACUCACUAUACUUCUUAUCAAAAUUACAUGAUGAGGAAUUGUAUGUUUGAAUAGCAGUCAAAUGAGAAGAGACUUUAUCAUUUAGCAAAUCUAUCUGCCCAAUUUCGUAGCUUGAGACAAUGCAAAAAUGUCAACCCAUGAUCUCUAUCCCAUUUUCUUUUGAUUAUCUCUACAGCUUGUAAAAAUCUCUGUACUUUUUUUCCAGUUUAAUUCUAUCUAGGUUAUAUUAUACAUUGAUUUA
Molecule: long non-coding RNA, 563 nt
Filed under: Homo sapiens (human)
Lineage: Eukaryota; Metazoa; Chordata; Mammalia; Primates; Hominidae
Description: HSALNT0361778
Source: RNAcentral